AACGAACGCUGGCGGCAUGCCUAACACAUGCAAGUCGAACGAGACCUUCGGGUCUAGUGGCGCACGGGUGCGUAACGCGUGGGAAUCUGCCCUUGGGUUCGGAAUAACAGUUAGAAAUGACUGCUAAUACCGGAUAAUGUCUUCGGACCAAAGAUUUAUCGCCCAGGGAUGAGCCCGCGUAGGAUUAGCUAGUUGGUGAGGUAAAGGCUCACCAAGGCGACGAUCCUUAGCUGGUCUGAGAGGAUGAUCAGCCACACUGGGACUGAGACACGGCCCAGACUCCUACGGGAGGCAGCAGUGGGGAAUAUUGGACAAUGGGCGAAAGCCUGAUCCAGCAAUGCCGCGUGAGUGAUGAAGGCCUUAGGGUGUAAAGCUCUUUACCGGGAUGAUAAUGACAGUACCGGGAGAAUAAGCCCCGGCUAACUCCGUGCCAGUCAGCCGCGGUAAU
This 448-nucleotide ribosomal RNA is filed under the name uncultured bacterium. RNAcentral describes it as "bacterial SSU rRNA". It matches the Rfam family "Bacterial small subunit ribosomal RNA", at positions 29 to 524 of the family's 1533-position model. The record is from RNAcentral.